AGCGAACGCUGGCGGCAGGCUUAACACAUGCAAGUCGAGCGGGCACUUUCGGGUGUCAGCGGCGGACGGGUGAGUAACGCGUGGGAACGUGCCCUCUGGUUCGGAAUAACUCAGGGAAACUUGAGCUAAUACCGGAUACGCCCUUUUGGGGAAAGGCUUGCUGCCGGAGGAUCGGCCCGCGUCUGAUUAGCUAGUUGGUGAGGUAACGGCUCACCAAGGCGACGAUCAGUAGCUGGUCUGAGAGGAUGAUCAGCCACACUGGGACUGAGACACGGCCCAGACUCGUACGGGAGGGAGCAGUGGGGAAUAUUGGACAAGGGGCGCAAGCCUGAUCCAGCCAUGCCGCGUGAGUGAUCAAGGCCUUAGGGUUGUAAAGCUCUUUUAUCCGGGACGAUAAUGACGGUACCGGAGGAAUAAGCCCCGGCUAACUUCGUG
RNAcentral lists this ribosomal RNA (435 nucleotides) under uncultured bacterium. RNAcentral describes it as "partial 16S ribosomal RNA". It matches the Rfam family "Bacterial small subunit ribosomal RNA", at positions 29 to 507 of the family's 1533-position model. The record is from RNAcentral.